AGUGAACGCUGGCGGUAGGCCUAACACAUGCAAGUCGAACGGCAGCACAGUAAGAGCUUGCUCUUACGGGUGGCGAGUGGCGGACGGGUGAGGAAUACAUCGGAAUCUACUUUUUCGUGGGGGAUAACGUAGGGAAACUUACGCUAAUACCGCAUACGACCUACGGGUGGAAGCAGGGGAUCUUCGGACCUUGCGCGAUUGAAUGAGCCGAUGUCGGAUUAGCUAGUUGGCGGGGUAAAGGCCCACCAAGGCGACGAUCCGUAGCUGGUCUGAGAGGAUGAUCAGCCACACUGGAACUGAGACACGGUCCAGACUCCUACAGGAGGCAGCAGUGGGGAAUAUUGGACAAUGGGCGCAAGCCUGAUCCAGCCAUACCGCGUGGGUGAAGAAGGCCUUCGGGUUGUAAAGCCCUUUUGUUGGGAAAGAAAAGCAGCAGGUUAAUACCCCGCUGUUCUGACGGUACCCAAAGAAUAAGCACCGGCUAACUUCGUG
RNAcentral lists this ribosomal RNA (492 nucleotides) under uncultured bacterium. RNAcentral's name for it is "partial 16S ribosomal RNA". It matches the Rfam family "Bacterial small subunit ribosomal RNA", at positions 29 to 507 of the family's 1533-position model. The record is from RNAcentral.